This is a non-coding RNA of Peromyscus maniculatus bairdii (prairie deer mouse), 3946 nucleotides long. Lineage: Eukaryota; Metazoa; Chordata; Mammalia; Rodentia; Cricetidae. The record is from RefSeq and is a predicted model, not a curated record.
GGUUGGGUGAGCGAGCUGCCUCCAGCUCCUAGAGCUAUAAGCCAGGGCUGUCCUCACUCUGCAUGCCCUCACUUCUCCAUGGGCCUAGGAAAUGUUAGGAACGUGAAGACUCUGUGUCCUGCCUCCAGGAUCAGCCUAUACUAGUUUCCUGAUGACUCCCAUUCCCAACAGAUGUCCAGAGUCCUUUCCCCGGAACCCACCAUCACUGUCUUCUCAUUCCUGGAGUUCAGGAGUGAAGGGCCGGGGUUGGGACCCCCACUGUGACUCGGACUUGGGCCUCUAGCUGUGUGUGUGUGUGGGGGGGGGGCAUGACAGCAGGAAUGAUGAGGAUCCUAAUAGGGUAAGACAGCAGGCCUCCUUCCUGAGCCCCUCUUUGGCAUCUUGUCUGGUCUGCUGGGUCGUUUCUUCCUGGUCCAACUUCCCUUUGCUCCUCCCAGAGCCUCGCCCCUGAAGGCUCCACAGAGUAGUAAUGAAUGGGUUGGCGGUACAUGCCGGAAUCUUUAUUUCUGUAACACCCUGUCUCCCUGGCCACCCCACAUUCUCCCAGGAGAUUUAUCUUCUUCAAGUUCCCACACAUCAGGCCUCUGGGGGAUAUGUAGGUCUGGGAAACCAGAAUUCACCACCAUCAAUGGUGGGGAGGAGGCUGUUGCCAUGAGACUUCAGGCCUAUCCAUCCCCUCCACUCCCGUCCCUCCCAGGCGCCUUAGCCAUCUGUGUCCUUAGGCUUCUGGAAAACAGACAGCUCAGCUCCCUCCACCCCUGCCUUCCUCUGUCCAUGCUUGAGCUUCUGAUCUCUACUCCAGGGCACUUGCUGAAUAGAGCCUUGUUCUCUGCCGCCAGAGAGGGAGCCCAUACGGCAAGGGCAGCCCCAAGGGGACUGGGCUGCUUUUAUCCCAAGAUGCCAGGAUGUCAGCCCCGGGUGCUGUACAAGCUCCCAGCUCAAUGGACUUCUCGGAAAGCAUCGAAGGGGGCCUGGAGUACAGCGGGAAGCAGGCUGUGUGCCCACCCCUGAUCAUUGUGUCUAUGCCAAGGGCAAAACCUCAAUGCCUCCCGGGACAAUCCCACUUCUGGUCUCAACUCAUAUACACAGUGCCUGGUGUUUCCUACCGAUGCCAGACUCUAAUUCCAGUGGCCAUGCAAUUCCAGUGUCACCCGCAGGCUUUGCUUGCACACCUGCCCCUGCCCAGCAGAGAUCAAGACUGGCUGGCUGACCCCAUCCCAUGGUGCUGCCCAGUGGAAGGGAAGUGAGCCCCAGGACCACUAGAUGGCAGUGCUCAGCUGCCCAGGCAGAUUCACCUCUGCUGUGACGGUGCCCUCUUGAGACGAAAUCAAUACUUUGGCUCCUCUGUGGCUGUGAAGUCUUGGAUGACCCAGGAACCGUCACCGAAUCCAGAUCUGUGAAAUGAGGACUUACCUUCCAAGAACAUUAUCAGUGAGAGACAGCCACAUCAGGCACUGUUGUCAAACCAUAGCGUUCAUCUCAUAAUGCCUGGGAGUAUGUGAGAACCUUCUAAGGGAGGUCACGCGGCAGUGUGGCUAGGACCAAGGAACCGCACAACAUUCAUCCCCAACUGUCCUGGUCACCUCUUCACAGAACUAUGGAAAGCCAGGCAUGGUGGCACUCUGUGAGUUCCAGGGUAGCCUGGUCUACAUAGCGAGUUCCAGGACAGACAACACUACAUAGAGAGACCCUGUCUCAAACAAACAAAUAAACACAAAAGAACUAUGGAAGAGAAGACAGCCAUGACUUACAUGCUACCUGGAACCAGGAUCAUUCUCCAGGGAGAAUCUGGAGACAGUCUCAUCGCCCAUGCAAGUCAGAUGGAUGCUGCAUCUCAGCUGGCUGCCCCCCCCCCCCCCCCCCCCCCCCCCCCCCCGCAGCCCCCGCCAGCCCGACUGCCUAUGGCAUGCAGGACACCACACAGCAAGCUCUCGGGCCGACCUCCUGUGAUUGAGGGCAGGAGCCGCACGUGCCUUGCUCCAUCAGCCCAGAGUCUCUGUACAUUUUACGGGUCACCCGAGAGCACACUUUGUACCACGGAGCCGCAAAUGUUUGCGCAGUGAAUGGCUGGCUGCUGAACAUCCUUGUCAAGAGUGACCUCUUCCACUGUCCGGCUGCCCCGCGCCUGGCAAACUCUGCCUCAUGCAAGGACCCGUUGUGCAUUGCGUGCCCUCCUGGCCCUCCUGGCCCUCGUUACUGGCUGCCUUGCCCCGUGCCGACUGCCUCUGCCCUUGGAGGGCGAUAGUGAUGAUCAGAAGAGGUCAUAUAUGUGAAGACCCCGGGAAAUGGAGAAGUUAUUCCAUCGGAAUCCAGCCAUCACUCAGCGAGGCCUCAAGUGAAAGUGCCGUGCCAACUGCCAGGGGAUACAGAUGUGAAUCUGUGACGGCUUCGAGGGAGCCACGGAACACAGGGGAACAAACUCAUUAAGACUAAUUGGAGAGGCGGGAACCCCAUGCCUGGGAAGAAAAAUGAUGUCUGUUCACUUGAAAAAGGAAGCAGUCCUGUGUUAUGGAGAAACCAGGAUGUAGGCUGGGUCCCAAAUACUUGCUGUCCAACUGUGGGCAAGUUGGGUGGAGGUGUUUGAUUCUGUUUCUCUCAUCCGUCUCAUAGGGCCAGCGUAAGCUGAGACACAGCCUGGCAGCACAGGGAAGCUCAUCCACCUGCUUUUCCUCACUCUCCUGAUCAGGGACAGAAAUGAGCAGGAGGGGUCCAGGCAUUCUUUGAACCUGGCAGCAUUAUUUACACACUAAUCACAAUGUGCUAAAUACCCUUAAAAAUGUUUGUUUUCAGGAGCAAGUUCAACACAAGCGCCUGUAAUUUUGUUUACACUAUUAAUUCACUCAGCCAACCAUGUCUUCGUGGGGAGAACAGAGAUAACCAUGCUCAGCUGCUAUACAAUCCAGCGAGUGGAAAGGGAGGCCCCCAAGAGCUGGUGGAGGGGUGGGGAGAGAGGAGCAGGCCGCAAUGGACUCUAGCUGGGACUCAGUUGGAGCCUCAGCUCAGACCUGAGUCCAACCAAAAAGGCCUUCCUGACAGCAGAGUGACCCACCGUAAGGUGUAAUAGACAUCCAAGUGAGAUUCCUUUGAAACCCACUGGGAGCAAGGAUCCUGCAAGGAAGAAAAUAUCAUGUGUGUGCAUAUAUGAGUGCGGGUAACAUGCAUGUCACAGCAUGUGUGUGGUCAGAGGACAGCCAUGGAGUGGGUUCUGGGAUUGGACUGAGGCUGUCGUGCAGGCCUGCAAACAAGUGCUUUUACCUGCUGAGCCAGGUCCACGGAGAGGAUCUGCACUGUACUGAGGAGCCAGGUUCAGGCCCCAGAACAGAAGGCUGCAGGUGGCCAGGAAGGUAUUGUUUCCUGGACUCCUAAGUUCCUUGAACCCAGGACUGCAAGCAUGCCAGGCAAGCAAGCGCCCUACCACUCUGAGCCACAGCCCUAAAAGUUUCCUGUUGAUUUUUUUCACACUAUUUAGGAACAGUUGCCCUCUAACUCACGAUCCUCCUGUUUCAGCUUCCCAAGUGCUGGGAUUACAGGCGUGUGUCACCACACUCAGCUUGACAUCUUAAAGGUAAGAAAGGAGAGGUGGCACUAACCUCUGAGGGUGUAGAAGGAAGAACACACUCCAGAGGUGCAGAUGAUUUAAUAAUCAUUACAGUAGAAAAAUCUAUAGAUCUAUAGGCAUACACCUGUGUGUAUAUACAUAUAAAUAUUUACAUAUAAAUACACAUAUAUGGGAAAGUCAAGGACACUUAAAUACCAAUGUAACUAGCUAGCAUUUAUAUCUAAGUGGUAACAUUAAGGCUACAUUCUCCUCUCUUCUUAUACACUGGGUGUAUGGCCCGUGUUUAGUGAGUGAAAAUAAUAUAAACCAAAGCUACAUCACCAAGGGGUGAGGCAUUCCCACCCCAGGCUGUGGGCACAGGGCUGAAGAUGCCCAUCUCAAACACCA